RNAcentral lists this ribosomal RNA (490 nucleotides) under uncultured bacterium. RNAcentral's name for it is "SSU rRNA". It matches the Rfam family "Bacterial small subunit ribosomal RNA", at positions 26 to 517 of the family's 1533-position model. The record is from RNAcentral.
AGGAUUAACGCUGGCGGCGUGCAUGAAACAUGCAAGUCGAGCGCGGUGUGAUGCGGGGUAACCCAAUUCACAUCUAGCGGCGAACGGGUGAGUAACACGUGAGCAACCUACCUUUGAGUUGGGGAGUAGCCCUGGGAAACCGAGGAUUAAUACCCGAUGUGGUCACAACAGGACAUCCUGAUGUGAGUAAAGGCGCAAGCCGCUCAAUGACGGGCUCGCGGCCUAUUAGCUUGUUGGUGGGGUAACGGCCUACCAAGGCGAUGAUGGGUAGCUGGUCUGAGAGGACGAUCAGCCACACUGGGGACUGAGACACGGCCCAGACUCCUACGGGAGGCAGCAGUUAGGAAUUUUCCGCAAUGAGCGAAAGCCUGACGGAGCAACGCCGCGUGAGUGAUGAAGACCUUCGGGUUGUAAAGCUCUGUCGGAGGGGAAGAACACAAUGACGGUACCCUCCAAGAAACGCCCCGGCUAACUACGUGCCAGCGAGCCG